This is a long non-coding RNA of Rhincodon typus (whale shark), 1544 nucleotides long. RefSeq lists it as uncharacterized. The transcript is spliced from 3 exons. Lineage: Eukaryota; Metazoa; Chordata; Chondrichthyes; Orectolobiformes; Rhincodontidae. The record is from RefSeq and is a predicted model, not a curated record.
CAACAGGAACCUCAAAGAGCUUCAGUUAUUACAUUGGAAAGGAUUGUAUUGUAUAUUUUGUUAUGAACAUGUAAGCUCCAACUGUAGGAUGAAAAUUAACAGUGGAAUAUCCACCAUCACCACAAAAAUAAAGUCAGCACCACCAGAAGCCACCUCCUUGACUUCUGAGGACAAGAUUACUGAGGCCUCAGAAAGAGGCAUCAGCAAGGCUGCCACCUGGAUCUCUCACCAGUUCAGACAUUGGUAAAAACACCAGCAUUACAAGUUUUGGGAGUUCAAGCUGGUGAGCAACUCACUGCGACAGCUCUGCAACUAGCUGAGGAAGAAACGCUGUAAGCUGCUGGCACUCGGGGAAUGGCUGGAGAUGAGACACCUACCUCGAAAGGAGAGGACCCUGUGGUAUCAACAUCAAGGAUAUUGUCCCAAUGCUGAAGGAGAAACAACAAUAGCAGAAAGGCACGUUGUUAGUAAGGCAUAAUAGCAGACCCACAAAGACAAGAGCCAUUAGUGAAUUCCCAAUUCCUUCUUUACUCCAGGAUUUGAACGAUUGUAAAAUUUCUACAGAAUCUACACAAGUUACUGAACUCUUAAGACAUCAAUAGAAGGAAGAUCAAGCAUGAUGUUGGGAAGAACGUCAAGAGCUGACAUUGCAUGUGAUUAAGGAAUGUUGGUUUUGCAAGCUAUCUUCCUGUAUUAUAACUCCAUACUACUGAUGAAAUAUAAAGCAGAUACCUCUUUUACAGGUUGGGGGCUGUGCUUUCUCAGGAACAGUUAGCUUCAUGUCACAGACCAAUUUGUUACACAGUGUGAAAGUUUUCCAUGACUGAACCAAGGUAUGUAAUCACAGAGAACAAUGCACUCACAGUCAUGUGGGCUUACAGAAAAUUCUCAGAAUGUAUCAUCAGCUCAAAGGUUGACAGAGACAGAUUCCUUGAUGACAAGGAAUUUCAAGAAUGCAUCAGAGGAUCCUGGAUUCUGGUUGAGAUUUACUAAGCUUCACCUAUGAAAUUGUAAAUCUUCAGGGCAGGCUGCAAAUGCUAGCAGAUGCUUGUCCAGAGCCACCAUUGACCAUCCUAUAUAACAGGAUGUUAAAUUCAUUAAUAAGAUUGAGUCACAUUCUCAGGUCAUUGCAGCAUGAUAAGGCUCUGGCUGCAUCUAAUAUCUCAGUGAGCAUGCUUCUGCUCUCUGCUAUCAAUGUCUUUGUCUAAGUCUUCUGCGAUCAUAUUUGUCUGCUGUCUCAUCCCACUACCAAUCUGGAAAUGAAACAUGCUUUUAGUCUGGCCUGGUUGCAGCACAGCCAAGCCUGAUGAUUCUGAAUGUGCUGAUCCAAAUCUACAUGAGUCUCAAAAGUAAUUGUGAUUUCAGUAUCUGAGCUGGUGGCUGACACUGAGAACAUUAGAAAAGCUCUCAAUAGAAAAUGGCACUAGGCAUUACUAAGGAGCAGGUGGUGAAAGAAAGUCAGAAACACGAAUGCAGGUGCAGAGAUUUUACUACAGUUGCACAUUAAUAUUGCAUUUAGUUCUUUCUCAGUUUACUACUUGUUU